This 441-nucleotide ribosomal RNA is filed under the name uncultured bacterium. RNAcentral describes it as "partial 16S ribosomal RNA". It matches the Rfam family "Bacterial small subunit ribosomal RNA", at positions 338 to 795 of the family's 1533-position model. The record is from RNAcentral.
CCUACGGGCGGCAGCAGUGGGGAAUAUUGCACAAUGCGGGAAACCCUGACGCAGCAACGCCGCGUGAGUGAAGCAGUAUUUCGGUAUGUAAAGCUCUAUCAGCAGGGAAGAAGAAAGACGGUACCUGACUAAGAAGCCCUGGCUAACUACGUGCCAGCAGCCGCGGUAAUAUGGAGGGGGCAAGCGUUAUCCGGAGUUACUGGGCGUAAAGGGAGCGUAGGCGGCUGUGCAAGUCAGAAGUUAAAGCCCGUGGCUCAACCGUGGAACGGCUUUGGAUACUGUAUAGCUUGAGUACUGGAGAGGCUGGCGGAAUUCCUGGUGUAGCGGUGAAAUGCGUAGAUAUUAGGAGGAAUACCGGUGGCGAAGGCGGCCUGCUGGACAGAAACUGACGUUGAGGCUCGAAAGCGUGGGGAGCAAACAGGAUUAGAUACCCUGGUAGUC